Long non-coding RNA from Helianthus annuus (common sunflower), 3995 nucleotides. RefSeq lists it as uncharacterized. NCBI's taxonomy places the organism in Eukaryota, Viridiplantae, Streptophyta, Magnoliopsida, Asterales, Asteraceae. The record is from RefSeq and is a predicted model, not a curated record. The transcript is spliced from 12 exons.
AUACUCCUCCCUAAUUGAGUUUGAGCGGCAUCUCAAACACGCUUCAUCACCGGUAUCAUUCCAAAACCCUAAUUAUCGUAUAGGUGAUUCUCCGGCGAUCUCAAACACAAAAACUCUCAUCCACGAUAUUUAUCAUCUUCAACCCUUGCUAUUUAUCAUCUUUAUCAUCUUAAAAAACAUGAGAAGCCUUCCGCCCUUUCUCUCACACACUGUUCAAUCAAAACCCUCUUUCUCUUCUCUCACACCCACUUCAGAAAGAAACCCUAGCUUCCUGUAGCUUUUGCGCCUUCAACCUCAAAAACCCUAGAUCGCAAUUACAGACAACUAAUCAUCAGUUGACUGUGUCUAUGAUCUACACAAUCUUGAUGAAUUUUGGUAACGAUUAGGGCUCAAAAGUUCCACAUUUGAAGUUAAAAGGAGAACCGUGACACACGAAUUAAUAAUCGAAAACCAAUGGAUCUCCAGAUGAUGUGGCUGUGAAGAAGUCUGGGAGUAUUUCUUCAUUCGACUCUCAUAUGGAAUAUCGGUUUCUUUCCACUUCACAAUGUACAUAAACUCCACCUCAACUUCUUUGUUGGAUAAUCUUGACGGGUAUAGGUACGGAUAGGAUCUGAACUGGUCACAGGUCUUCAAUCAAGACCAAAUUAUCAUUCUUUAGGCGGUAAUCCACUUUACCUUUUAUAAUCAUAUGGUCAGAUCGGUAGUAGUGGCGGUGUUCUAUAAGUGACUAAUGGCUCUAAGGACUAUGGUUUGUUUUCCGGUCAUCUCCCCAUUUCCAGCGAGAAAAAGGUAAGCCGUGUCGUGUACACCUCAUCUUUUCGGUGAUUUGAAAGAAUUUUUGUUUAACGUGUAUGAUUCUGGGUUGCUCCCCAUUUUCGACGAGAAAAAAGUAUAAUUUUGAAGGAAGAUAUGAUUUGGUAAAGUUUGUAGAGUUGGUUCAGAAAGUUGGGAUGUAUAUGCAUCUAAGGAUUGGGCCAUUUGUUUGUGUAGAGUGGAAUUUUGGGUAAUUUUAUCAAGAAACACUUUGGGUUUGCCUGUUUGACUAAAGUAUGUUCAUGGAAACAGGUUUAGAACUGAUAAUGAACCUUUCAAGGUAUAUGUGCACUCUAGGAAAGGAAACUUAAGGAACUGAAUCCAGUCAUGAGAAAUAUUACUGAGGUGUCAUGUUGUGCUGCAAGCUUUUUUGUGAUUUGGGCAGGAAAAUGGAUGAGUAAAUACGGAUCCCGCGUGCAGCUCCAAGCCCGUUUUUUUUUACCCGGCUAUAUAAACCAUGUAAUAACCCUAUUCUCCUAAAUCGCCUCAUUCAACAACACUAUUCGGAGAAACACCAUCGCAAACACAAUCGCAUUUGUUGAUUCUUCUUCUUCUUCUAUACACCAUCACAUCUGUUGAUUAUUGAUAUGUGAACUACGAAGGGGUAUUCCGGAACGUAAAGGGGAUGAAGCAUUGUUGAAUCAAAAUUAAUUCUUGAUUUCCUUGAAAUCGGAUUGAUUUUUUUUUCUAAACCCUAGAUAUUGCCCUCAUCUUCCUUAUGGUUUAAGCAUCUGCAAUCUACACGAUUCAAGAUGGCAGUGACAGUUCAGAUGAGGUAAGCGAUUUGUUUCAAGAUUAAAUAUAAAGCACAAUUCAGAUGAGGUAAGAUCGAAUUGAAAUGGCUGUAAAUGGUGGAGGCUUUCAAGUGGCACUAGUAAAGGGGCUGAAGCGUCGGUUUCGUUUACACAAGCUAUCUUGACCAAACAUUUGCAAAUGGGAACUCGAUGCAAAAUUACAAUUUGGGUUAAUUAAAUGGGUCAAUGCACGCUUUUGGUGCAUUGGGAUCAACCGCUUCAGGAAUUCAAACACUAUCUGGCCCAUAAUUUUCUGUGGGGUCAUGAGCUUGCUGAUGUUAGAGGUGAUGUCAUUUUUUAAUUGAAACGCUUGAUUUGAAAGAAGAGACGAAAGCCUGCUGUGAAAUUUGUCCUCAAGUUUCUAAAUAUGUUUCAUAAUUGUCUUAGUGAGGGUUGAGAGUGGCAGAUGGGUGUUUGUUGAUGGUUCUGCACAUGCAAUUUAUGAGACUGGUACGCAAGACUAGAUACCACACAAGGGCCCACAUCAUUUGAGCUACUCUAGGCGUGUGAGUACUUCACAAAUUCUUAUUACAUCAUAUAUACUCUUUAACUAAGCAAGAUAAUUUUGGUGUGGUUGUGGUGAUCACUAAUCAAGUGGUGUCUCAGGUAGUGCUUGACUUUCAGAAGUCAAAAUGUUUGAUUGAUCAUUAAAGUUUUAACUUUUUUUGUAUGUAGGUGUGUGUGUAACUUUUAGUUGUAUGUUUGGAUAGGAUAACAGAGUUUUGAAGCUAAAAUGUGUUAGGCGUGACUCUUAUUCUCACUUUUCUUUACAUAUGAUAGUAGGUUCUUUUCAAGUAAAGAAAUUGGGGGUACAUAACUUCUUCUUUUUCUAAAGGUGGAUUAAGGCCUCUAAUUUUUACCAUCCAUUGUAAAAUUUCAGCUUGUGGUAAUGGCCCCUAUUUUUUAUUUAUUUGUUUUUACUAUUGCCUUAGAGUUGUUCUCAAGCUGAUGGGAUGAUGGGUUUAGUUGCCUAAUAAAUUAAUCAAGACAUCGAGUAUACAAUGACUAAAAGUUUGUGUUAUCGAAGUUAAGUAGCAACUAUGUAUUAUUUGUAACGUGUUUUAUGGGGGUAGCCAUAUUAGGUAUACAAGAGAGUUAUUACUAUCUAAGGGGUUUUAUUUCAAAUGACACUGAACCAAAUGCAUAGAUGCAAAUAGCUUUUUGUUUGUGCGGAUAAAGAUAUCCAGUUGACCCCAAACAUCUUUCUUUUCUGACUUGGUAUACUCUUGGAUCUCAUAGAAUCCCAGACAUUUGAUUUCAUUUAAGAAUUAAGAUGAAAAAAUAGAAAAGGAAAAUUUAAAACUGGAUGUAUGGCCACAAGAAUUAUUUAUACCGAAUAUGAUAAUACUAUUUUUAAAAUACAUAUGUUAAAAUGUUUUUUACUCUAUAAAAUACAAUCUUUGCAAAUCUAGGACCAAUGUUUCCUUUGAGCACUUUUUCCAUGAUCGGAAAUUAAAACUUGACCCGAUCUAGGCCAUGGUUUAAAAAAAAGGCCGAGGCGUCGGUACUGAGGCACGCCUCAAGGCGGAACGGAGGAAAUCGUAUACGAAGCGGCGCCUCAGAUAUAGAUAUUAUACGUACGCCUCAGUGGUAUAGAUAUUACACUCCUAUUUAAAUUCAUUUUUAGUAAUUCUUCACAGGUUUUAGUUUCAUAUUUUAGUUUCAUGUCUUCAUGCUUGGGAACCUAACUUCUCAGUUUAGGAGAGCUUAUUAUAGGGAAAAAGACUGCCUUUUAUGAGUUCAAUCUACACAUCUUCUAAGCACAUCGUUAUUGCUAUAUCUCAAGGUUAUCAUGAAUAAAGAUGGCACAUUGCGGGCAACUUCUGGUGUUGAGGAUUUGGCAUUGCUGAAGACAACAUAAGUUUUUGGAGAGGGAAGUGAUCAUUCUGUUCGGUUAUGGGUUUGUACCGGUUAGGGUCCUGUAUUGCCUGUUUGGGACCUGUUUCAACCCUUAGACGUGAAGCCUAAGUUUGGAAAGGCCUAGAACAAAAGUGAUGAUCUACAUGGGCUUCAAUGCCAGAACAUAUUAUAUGUUUGUGUUAAGCCACCCGCGAAACUCGCGGGAUCUUAGGCUAGUCUACAAAUAGAAACGAAGUUGUUUUCAUGGUUUGAAAAUGACGUUUUCUUGAGCUUUAGAAGUGCCAUAGCCUAUGGAUGACCGUACCUGGCAGAUAACACGGUUGUGAUCAAUGAUUCUCUUCAAGGGUCGAGGAUCAAAGCAAAUUUUUUAGGAACUCGCCUACAAAGGGAACCUAGAAUCACACCAUGUUAAUUAUCGCUAAAUAACAUUUUGUUGUAUUUGUUGUUGUUACUGUAUUUGAAUCAAACCUGUUGUAUUUGUGAUCUAUGUUAGUUAUUGUAUUUAUAAAAUUUAAAAAAGUUGUUCCA